RNAcentral lists this ribosomal RNA (493 nucleotides) under uncultured Propionibacterium sp. RNAcentral describes it as "bacterial SSU rRNA". It matches the Rfam family "Bacterial small subunit ribosomal RNA", at positions 1 to 507 of the family's 1533-position model. The record is from RNAcentral. Lineage: Bacteria; Bacillati; Actinomycetota; Actinomycetes; Propionibacteriales; Propionibacteriaceae.
UAGACGUUUGACUCCUGGCUACAGGACGAACGCUGGCGGCGUGCUUAACACAUGCAAGUCGAACGGAAGGCCCUGCUUUUGUGGGGUGCUCGAGUGGCGAACGGGUGAGUAACACGUGAGUAACCUGCCCUUGACUUUGGGAUAACUUCAGGAAACUGGGGGCUAAUACCGGAUAGGAGCUCCUGCUGCAUGGUGGGGGUUGGAAAGUUUCGGCGGUUGGGGAUGGACUCGCGGCUUAUCAGCUUGGUUGGUGGGGUAGUGGCUUACCAAGGCUUUGACGGGUAGCCGGCCUGAGAGGGUGACCGGCCACAUUGGGACUGAGAUACGGCCCAGACUCCUACGGGAGGCAGCAGUGGGGAAUAUUGCACAAUGGGCGAAAGCCUGAUGCAGCAACGCCGCGUGCGGGAUGACGGCCUUCGGGUUGUAAACCGCUUUCGCCUGUGACGAAGCGUGAGUGACGGUAAUGGGUAAAGAAGCACCGGCUAACUACGUG